Molecule: small RNA, 16 nt
Filed under: Arabidopsis thaliana (thale cress)
Lineage: Eukaryota; Viridiplantae; Streptophyta; Magnoliopsida; Brassicales; Brassicaceae
Description: ATSL178510
Source: RNAcentral
AAGAACUAGAGGCUUA